RNAcentral lists this ribosomal RNA (495 nucleotides) under uncultured bacterium. RNAcentral describes it as "partial 16S ribosomal RNA". It matches the Rfam family "Bacterial small subunit ribosomal RNA", at positions 28 to 507 of the family's 1533-position model. The record is from RNAcentral.
GACGAACGCUGGCGGCGUGCCUAAUACAUGCAAGUAGAACGCUGAAGGAGGAGCUUGCUCUUCUGGAUGAGUUGCGAACGGGUGAGUAACGCGUAGGUAACCUGCCUGGUAGCGGGGGAUAACUAUUGGAAACGAUAGCUAAUACCGCAUAAGAGUAGAUGUUGCAUGACAUUUGCUUAAAAGGUGCAAUUGCAUCACUACCAGAUGGACCUGCGUUGUAUUAGCUAGUUGGUGGGGUAACGGCUCACCAAGGCGACGAUACAUAGCCGACCUGAGAGGGUGAUCGGCCCCACUGGGACUGGGACACGGCCCAGACUCCUACGGGAGGCAGCAGUAGGGGAUCUUCGGCCAUGGACGGAAGUCUGACCGAGCAACGCCGCGUGAGUGAAGAAGGUUUUCGGAUCGUAAAGCUCUGUUGUAAGAGAAGAACGAGUGUGAGAGUGGAAAGUUCACACUGUGACGGUAUCUUACCAGAAAGGGACGGCUAACUACGUG